This 468-nucleotide ribosomal RNA is filed under the name uncultured bacterium. RNAcentral describes it as "partial 16S ribosomal RNA". It matches the Rfam family "Bacterial small subunit ribosomal RNA", at positions 28 to 507 of the family's 1533-position model. The record is from RNAcentral.
GACGAACGCUGGCGGCGUGCUUAACACAUGCAAGUCGAACGGAAAGGCCCUGCUUUUGUGGGGUGCUCGAGUGGCGAACGGGUGAGUAACACGUGAGUAACCUGCCCUUGACUUUGGGAUAACUUCAGGAAACUGGGGCUAAUACCGGAUAGGAGCUCCCGCUGCAUGGUGGGGGCUGGAAAGUUUCGGCGGUUGGGGAUGGACUCGCGUCUUAUCAGCUUGUUGGUGGGGUAGUGGCUUACCAAGGCUUUGACGGGUAGCAGGCCUGAGAGGGUGACCGGCCACAUUGGGACUGAGAUACGGCCCAGACUCCUACGGGAGGCAGCAGUGGGGAAUAUUGCACAAUGGGCGGAAGCCUGAUGCAGCAACGCCGCGUGCGGGAUGACGGCCUUCGGGUUGUAAACCGCUUUCGCCUGUGACGAAGCGUGAGUGACGGUAAUGGGUAAAGAAGCACCGGCUAACUACGUG